UACGUAGGGUGCGAGCGUUGAUCGGAAUUACUGGGCGUAAAGUGUGCGCAGGCGGCCGCGCAAGUCGGGUGUGAAAGCCCCGAGCUUAACUUGGGAAUUGCGCUCGAAACUACGUGGCUGGAGUGUGGCAGAGGAAGGUGGAAUUCCACGUGUAGCGGUGAAAUGCGUAGAGAUGUGGAGGAACACCGAUGGCGAAGGCAGCCUUCUGGGCCAACACUGACGCUCAUGCACGAAAGCGUGGGGAGCAAACAGG
This 253-nucleotide ribosomal RNA is filed under the name uncultured bacterium. RNAcentral's name for it is "partial 16S ribosomal RNA". It matches the Rfam family "Bacterial small subunit ribosomal RNA", at positions 524 to 776 of the family's 1533-position model. The record is from RNAcentral.